RNAcentral lists this unclassified non-coding RNA (403 nucleotides) under Hevea brasiliensis (rubber tree). Lineage: Eukaryota; Viridiplantae; Streptophyta; Magnoliopsida; Malpighiales; Euphorbiaceae. The record is from RNAcentral.
AGGGUUUUUUUUUUUUUUUUUUUCAGGGAAAAUGAAACCAGGUUAGAUUUGGUAGCGUACAGGGGGUGUGAGAUGUGAGUCUAACGAUGAGACUCCGGCGUAGCAAAAUAGCGUUAUUCGGUGCGCUGCAGGUGCAUCUGCAUCGUGAGUCUCUGUUACGUAUUUUUUGAGGGACCUAAUUGACUGAUCUACUUUCCUCUUUUUUAUUAAAAAACUUAAAAAGUGACUUACGAAUUGGGUAAUCAGGACCGUUUAUGAUAGAUCAUUCAAAUCGCGCAGAUGUAAAGCCUCCAUUUAUUACUUUUCCACCAAGGGAUGGUGAUGUUGUGCCCACCGACACACGGAUUGGAAGUAUGGUCAAGCGUACGUAUCGUUUAGAGAAUUAGACUGGACUAUACUUUUA